CCUGUAAUUUCUCUAUUUAUUAUUACCAUGCCUAGGAUUUGAUUUGGUUUAUGGUUGAAACUAGAGAGAUCUAUCCUAUAGGUAGAUAACUCUUAUCCUCUUGGAGAUAAACAUUACAGAUAAUCUCAAAAUCUUAUCACAAUUAAACUAGUUUUUCUCAUAAAACUUAGACUUGGGUCCAGUGUGCACGGGACCUAUCAAGAUUAUAAUAAUUAACCAUAGGUGAACACAUGUCAUAAGUUUGACAUAUGUCUUCAAUCAAGUGAAAGAUUUUUCGACUCUAAUAGACUUUGUAUGAUAUGGAAUUCUUUUUUACUAUAAAAAAAUGAAAUUUUUAGUGUAAAGUUAUUAAUCUCACAUCACGUUUCAUGCCACGAUAAAAAUAAUAUCACGUAUACCAUAAGUUUGUUAGGACUAUCAUUUUGGGGCAGCACCUUAAUUGAAGCACUACUCCUACUAAGCAAUAAAAGAACUCGUAUAUUUGUUCAAAAAAAAAAAAACUCGUAUAUUUCAGUUUCUUCUCAAGAAAAAAAAAAAAAAAAAAAAAAAAAAACUCGUAUAAAAAGGGCUCAACGGUCAUGAUGAAUGAUAGAUAGCUCCUAGUCACCUAUUUGUCAAAUAACGUGAGGCUGGAGCGGAAACACAUAAUAGAAGUAACUCAGAUUCUCCUUAAUCUUCUUAGAAAAGAAAAAAAGAUUCCCUUAAUCUGAAACCGAUUUUCUCUUAAGCCUCGUCAUUUUUUGGUCAGUUAGCGAAGACUCAUCAGUUCCCUUAGUUGGCCAACCCCUUUUCUUCGCUUCCAGAGAGAGAGAGAAUCGGGUGUGCCUUUCGGCAUCAGAAACGAGGGAUGAAAAGGGGUUAGGACUUAUGAGAGAGAUGUGGAGAAGAGAAAAGGCAAGAAAAGAAAAGACUGUUGAAAGGAGUGGAGGCAUAUACAUAUAGCAUAGAGGGGGGUUUCAUCAGAAACGAGGUGAAUGGGGAAGAAUAACUAUGAUGAUCCUUUGAUCCUUCUAAAUAUACUACUACCCAUGUCAAUGAACCAUCCAAUCUCUGAUUAUUUAUCCGUAUUUUUUGAGUCUCUCUCAGUCUGAAACCACCUCUCUUUCACUUUCCUUAUCAAUUAUUAUUAUUAAUUACACCCCCAUCCCUCUCUCUCUCUCUCUCUCUCUUAUUUACUGUACUUGAUCCAUCACAUCUUAAAUAGAACCCAUCUGCCCCCUCUCCUUUCUCCCAUACACAUUAUUACCCACUCUCUCCCCUUCUGCGUGUGUAUAUAUGAGUUUGAAUGUGUGUGUGUGUGUGUGUGUGUGUGUGGAUCUUCAAAUGGUGAAUACAAGGACUGUGCUUUGCUUUCAUGUGGGUUUAGCAAAGGGUUUCUAACAAAGUUUAUUGGCAUUCUGUCCACCUCCAUCAAUAUAAGAAAAACAUUGUCCAUGUAUCUCUCCCUCUCUCUCUCUCUCUCUCUCAUGGAGGUGGGCAGACUGCCAAGUGAGCUAUGUUGGCUUCUCUUUGUAAGACCCUCGUGAUAUAUGAUGUUUCGCCUCCAGCUUUAGCUGUUCUCAACUGUUGUGUGAUAGAGACCAAGUGGCAGUUUCCGGACUUUGAUGCUUAUCCACUUGAGAGCACCCGAACUUUACUCUUGUUUUGUUCCAUGUUGUGUACUACAAUUUCUCCUUGUGUAAUCUAUGUUGCAGGUUGAGAUGUCUUGUCUUUUUAUAUGGACUUGAUUACAAACAUCAUGCACGGACUCUUCGGUUUCUGUUUGAUCAUAUAUAUGUAGAUCUUGUUUGGCUGCAAUUUGGGAACCCCUAGUUUUCUGACCUUUUUUGGUUUCUCUCACCAAACGUUUUCAAGAGGGUCUUGUUUUUCACUCUAAUUUCUUGUUUGUAUUCUGGCCUAGGGUUUUUUUUUUUUUAGUCUCUUUUUUUCUGUGCAUCUAAUUCAGGGAAGCUUCAAGAGAGGGGGAAAAAAAGCUUUUGAAGGAUGAAAUCAAGAAGGUCUACCUGUUCAUUUUACACAGGAAAAAAAAAAAAAAAAAAAUAGAAUUUGAAAAAGUGGAGGCUAAAGUGGAAAUCAGAAGACACGCAUUGCUUACCAAAAAAAGAGAACAAAGACAUUAUUUUGUCAGGUCUCAUGAGACCGAAAUGAUGACUCCAUUGAAGGGCUUCAAGCCGGACCUUGCCUUUAUAAUGGUCUUCAUUGUUUAUUGCCUUUAUGUAUAAUCAUGUUAAUUAUAAGAUCAUAGUCAAAGGAUAUUGAGAUUUCAAUCUUCAUAGCUUCA
This is a long non-coding RNA of Quercus robur (English oak), 2281 nucleotides long. RefSeq lists it as uncharacterized. The record is from RefSeq and is a predicted model, not a curated record. NCBI's taxonomy places the organism in Eukaryota, Viridiplantae, Streptophyta, Magnoliopsida, Fagales, Fagaceae. The transcript has 2 exons.